This is a long non-coding RNA of Humulus lupulus (European hop), 394 nucleotides long. RefSeq lists it as uncharacterized. The record is from RefSeq and is a predicted model, not a curated record. The transcript is spliced from 3 exons. Lineage: Eukaryota; Viridiplantae; Streptophyta; Magnoliopsida; Rosales; Cannabaceae.
AUAAUAAUUGAUUUUGAUCACCAAUUGUGCUAUUUCCUGGAUUCUCUUCACAAUUUUCCACCAGAUGAAAUCAAAUCUCUCAUUUCUCGUGUCUUUCAACAUUUACGCACAAAUAAUGCAAAAACUAAGGAAGUCGCAUGGAGAACAGUUAAGUGUCCUCGUCAACCAUUACAAUCAGUACAAUGUGGGUUCUAUGUUAUGAGGAUGAUGAAGGACUUCGUGACAAAUGAGUUUUCAAUGCGAUGGCUAACUAGUAACUGUGGCGGGAAGAACUAAUACACAAAGAAUGAGAUCAAUGAAGUACGUGAAGAAUGGGCACAAUGCGUCAUGGAUUUGAUGAGUACUACAUAGGUCCACCCACUUUUGUUAACUUAGACUUUUAAUGAGAUAUACU